AGGACUUUAAUACGUGGAAUUUCUGGAAACUCCCACCGCGCGAUAUUGAUGUUUGAGGUGUUGAAGAGAGUUUACUGCUUUAUCUUCUCGCCUGCGCUAGAUAUGGAGACGGAUGAGUUUUGCCAUGCACGUGUUUAGAAGUGUCGAGAUCUCACAGGUCGUGCGGUUGUAUGUAGCUAGGAAUUAUUGACUAAAUGACUGCUUUGCCGAUCGGGGUGAUUUAUCGGCGACCUGAAACAAUAUAUGGAAGAGUUGGAUCAGUCCCACCUCCAUGCUGCUGCUUCAUUUUCUCUUCUUUUUUUCUUCUGUUCAAUCCAAUUUUGUGUAGUCUGUUUCUGUACAUUCCAUGACCACUUCAAGUUGUAAGUAUUAUUUGGAAGUCGAAUAGGUAAAUAGGCAUUCACAUUCACAUAUAAUUUAACUGUAAAGUUCUUGUUUCCAAAUGUAAAUUGAUUUCUCAUGUGGAUUCAAGUAUCUAGUUUUGCUCUUUCUGUUGCACUUAAUCCGUACUCAGCAUUUUGCCAGA
RNAcentral lists this small RNA (526 nucleotides) under Malus domestica (apple). RNAcentral's name for it is "sRNA MD08G0086700". Lineage: Eukaryota; Viridiplantae; Streptophyta; Magnoliopsida; Rosales; Rosaceae. The record is from RNAcentral.